RNAcentral lists this ribosomal RNA (243 nucleotides) under Klebsiella pneumoniae subsp. pneumoniae. Its description in RNAcentral is "partial 23S ribosomal RNA". It matches the Rfam family "Bacterial large subunit ribosomal RNA", at positions 1647 to 1873 of the family's 2925-position model. The record is from RNAcentral. Lineage: Bacteria; Pseudomonadati; Pseudomonadota; Gammaproteobacteria; Enterobacterales; Enterobacteriaceae.
CCCCAAACCGACACAGGUGGUCAGGUAGAGAAUACCAAGGCGCUUGAGAGAACUCGGGUGAAGGAACUAGGCAAAAUGGUGCCGUAACUUCGGGAGAAGGCACGCUGGUGUGUAGGUGAAGCCCCUGCGGGUGGAGCUGAGACCAGUCGAAGAUACCAGCUGGCUGCAACUGUUUAUUAAAAACACAGCACUGUGCAAACACGAAAGUGGACGUAUACGGUGUGACGCCUGCCCGGUGCCGGA